Babesia microti strain RI is the source of this 71-nucleotide transfer RNA. It matches the Rfam family "tRNA". Rfam says of the family: Transfer RNA (tRNA) molecules are approximately 80 nucleotides in length. The record is from Rfam. NCBI's taxonomy places the organism in Eukaryota, Apicomplexa, Aconoidasida, Piroplasmida, Babesiidae.
UUCUUUAUAGUUAAAUGGUAUAACAAUCGGCUGUUAACCGAUAAAUAUUGGUUCAAUUCCAAUUAAAGAAG